GAAAAGAUAACCGCUGAAAGCAUCUAAGCGGGAAACUUGCCUCAAGAUGAGAUCUCACUGGGAACUUGAUUCCCCUGAAGGGCCGUCGAAGACUACGACGUUGAUAGGCUGGGUGUGUAAGCGUUGUGAGGCGUUGAGCUAACCAGUACUAAUUGCCCGUGAGGCUUGACCAU
This 173-nucleotide ribosomal RNA is filed under the name Pseudomonas aeruginosa. RNAcentral describes it as "partial 23S ribosomal RNA". It matches the Rfam family "Bacterial large subunit ribosomal RNA", at positions 2758 to 2925 of the family's 2925-position model. Lineage: Bacteria; Pseudomonadati; Pseudomonadota; Gammaproteobacteria; Pseudomonadales; Pseudomonadaceae. The record is from RNAcentral.